Molecule: ribosomal RNA, 433 nt
Filed under: uncultured bacterium
Lineage: Bacteria
Description: partial 16S ribosomal RNA
Rfam family: Bacterial small subunit ribosomal RNA
Source: RNAcentral
AACGAACGCUGGCGGCAUGCCUAACACAUGCAAGUCGAACGAGACCUUCGGGUCUAGUGGCGCACGGGGGCGUAACGCGGGGGAACCUGCCCUUAGGUUCGGAAUAACUCCCCGAAAGGGGUGCUAAUACCGGAUAAUGUCUUCGGACCAAAGAUUUAUCGCCUUUGGGUGGGCCCGCGUUGGAUUAGCUAGUUGGUAGGGUAAAAGCCUACCAAGGCGACGAUCCAUAGCUGGUCUGAGAGGAUGAUCCGCCACACUGGGACUGAGACACGGCCCAGACUCCUACGGGAGGCAGCAGUGGGGGAUAUUGGACAAUGGGCGAAGGCCUGAUCCAGCAAUGCCUCGUGAGUGAUGAAGGCCUUAGGGUUGUACAGCUCUUUUACCCGGGAUGAUAAUGACAGUACCGGGAGAAUAAGCUCCGGCUAACUCCGUG